GACGAACGCUGGCGGCGUGCUUAACACAUGCAAGUCGAACGGAAAGGCCCUGCUUGCAGGGUCCUCGAGUGGCGAACGGUUGAGUAAUACGUGGGUGAUCUGCCCUGCACUUCGGGAUAAGCCUGGGAAACUGGGUCUAAUACCGGACAGGAGCCUUUUUUCGUGUGAUGGUUGGAAAGUUUUUUCGGUGUAGCAUGAGCUCGCGGCCUAUCAGCUUGUUGGUGGGGUAAUGGCCUACCAAGGCGGCGGCGGGUAGCCGGCGUGAGAGGGUGGCCGGCCACAUCGACACUGGGACUCAGCCACGACUCAGACGGGUGGGAGAAGCAGGAAAGGUUGCACAUGGGGAGUAAGCCUGAUGCUGCGACGGCGCGGGGGGGAUAACGGCGUACGGGUUGGAGUCGUAUUGCGCUAUGGACGGAGCUGUUUGUGACGGUACCUAGAGAAGAAGCACCGGCUAACUACGUG
This 465-nucleotide ribosomal RNA is filed under the name uncultured bacterium. Its description in RNAcentral is "partial 16S ribosomal RNA". It matches the Rfam family "Bacterial small subunit ribosomal RNA", at positions 28 to 507 of the family's 1533-position model. The record is from RNAcentral.